UAGGGAAUCUUCGGCAAUGGGGGGAACCCUGACCGAGCAACGCCGCGUGAGUGAAGAAGGUUUUCGGAUCGUAAAGCUCUGUUGUUAAGGAAGAACGAGUGUGAGAAUGGAAAGUUCAUACUGUGACGGUACUUAACCAGAAAGGGACGGCUAACUACGUGCCAGCAGCCGCGGUAAUACGUAGGUCCCGAGCGUUGUCCGGAUUUAUUGGGCGUAAAGCGAGCGCAGGCGGUUAGAUAAGUCUGAAGUUAAAGGCAGUGGCUCAACCAUUGUAGGCUUUGGAAACUGUUUAACUUGAGUGCAGAAGGGGAGAGUGGAAUUCCAUGUGUAGCGGUGAAAUGCGUAGAUUUAUGGAGGAACACCGGUGGCGAAAGCGGCUCUCUGGUCUGUAACUGACGCUGAGGCUCGAAAGCGUGGGGAGCGAACAGG
This 429-nucleotide ribosomal RNA is filed under the name Bacteroidota bacterium. RNAcentral's name for it is "Bacteroidetes bacterium partial 16S ribosomal RNA". It matches the Rfam family "Bacterial small subunit ribosomal RNA", at positions 355 to 776 of the family's 1533-position model. Lineage: Bacteria; Pseudomonadati; Bacteroidota. The record is from RNAcentral.